CACACCUGGAAACCCCCAAAAGCAAGACAUGGAGAAACGCAAACACACAGGACUGAGAGAAGCCAACACACUAUGCUCAAGCUCCAAGGUACUAUAGGAGGAGGAGGCCUUGCAGGAUGCCCUCACUUGGUCAGAACCACAGAAAGCACAACACCAAGGCAGCUGUGUCCUCCUCGUUAGUGACUAGGUACCAGCACAGGCCCACCAGUGUGAGACAUUCGUGGGCAGAAGGGUGCACACAAAUGGACAGCUUCUGUUGGUUCCAUUCAGUAAACCUAAAACUGAUCAUGUGACAAGGGAGCUGAGGCUCAGAGCACAGGGUUCAAAGUCCAGCCUGUUUGCUGCCUUAGCAAACUGCAGAGGGCUGGCUAGGGCUAGUGCUUGCUACCUCCAGCCUCUCUGGCACGGCUGGAGGGCUUAGGUUAACUCCAUGUUGUUCCUUGGGGAGAUGGGGUUUCACUAUGUUUCCCAAGCUGCCCUCAAACCCUGGGCUCAAGCAAUCCUCCUCCCACAUCAGCCUGCUGAGCAGCUGGGACUUAGGCUCCAUGUAUUUUGUAUUGAAAACAUUCUACUUGGGAGGAUGAAGCAGGAAGAUCCUAAGUUCGAGGCCAGCCCCAGCAACUGGUCUCAAAACUUUUUAAAAGGGGUGGGAUGUAGCUCUGUGGUAGGUAGAGUGCUUGCCUACAUGCAUGAGGCUACAUGUUCAAUUUCCCAAUACUGAAAAUAAAUAAAUGAAUAAAUGAAGCAAGCAUUCCAGACCCAGCUACCAGAUCUCCUGCCUCCUGGACAUGCUUACAGGGUCUGUCUUUCUUCACCGUGACGUCCAUAGCUAUGUUGGCAACAAGGGACCCACAAUUAAGGAGACACAUCAUCAUGACCACCCUGGAUACACCUGGGAGCAGGAGGUGGAGAACAGUGGAGCAGGACGCAGGUGUUAAGUCAAAUGUCCCCAAACAUAAACACUGCUUGAAAGUUCUUCAAAUCUUGCAGACUUCUGCUGCAUGCAGAGGGUGACAGUGCUGUCACCACAGAGCCCUGACAGCCCACCCAACGUCUGCUCCAUAGAUGCCCAAGGGAAACUCCUGCAAGAGCCCAGGAACAGUGUGGGGAGUGAAAGGCCCCUAGAGCUCAGAGUCCAACACCCAAAUACCCGCAACCAGGUGCGAAGAUGGGACAGAUGCUUCAUCCCUCAUGAGGGGCAGCCCUGGAACAGGACGCAGCACAAAGAGGAAGAAGCUACACAUCAGGCUUGGGCCAACACUUGCCUCGUAGGUGACGAAGUCGUAGAACUCAUCAGCGCAGGUUGAGGAAUCCUCAUCCUGGGCAGGCACCACGCUGGGCAGCUGGCUGUUGGACUCUGUGGAUACAAGACCCAGCACUGGUGAGACCACUGGAGCCUCCGGAGGUGCAAGGUGCCACGCAGUCAGGAGUAGGGAGGGUCUGGAGUUUGCUGUGGGGGAAGCAAGAGGGGAGAGGCCAGCAGGGCGAGAUUGGAGGCCACAUCCCCAGGAAGUGGGGUUCCACCAAAGUCUGGGCACUGGUGUCAGGGAAGAACAGCAGAACUUCACUCCUCAUAAAAACCAAAGGCCACUGCCAAAGAAAAAGAGCAAGGCACCAAGCCCUUCAGACUCUACAGAAUGCCAGGUACUAAUAAUCCAGACUUAGGAGCCAAACCCCUGGUGACAGGGGAGGCACGGGCUCCAUGAACCAGCACAGGACACACCCAUCCUGCAGCUGAACUCAUAGGCAGUUUACAUUCCCCUCUUCUACUUGACUAUCUUCCAAAAUGCACAUUUCCUUUCAUAGACAAAACUCAUGAGGGACAGACAGAAUUCACUGCUCUUCAAACACAUGGAUCCCACUGCACUUGCCUGCCUCCUUCCAUGGGAACUGAGGCAGAGGCAGGACACACAGGGCAAGAGGCAGCAAGGCAGCUUCUGCCUCCUGGUGUCAAGAUACAUCAACCACUCACUCAGCAUCUUCACCAUGACCCACCUGACACCAGCCACAUAUGGAAAAAGCAGAGUCGAGUCUCUCAAGUGCCAAGUUCUCCUGGGAGAAGCUCUGAAAUAGGAUGGCUUCCUGCAGCUAGGCUGGAGGGACCAAAGAAGGUUCCUGCUGUGAUCUGGACCACGUGGGUGAGUAUCACAUAGUUGCCACAACCCAAAAGGUCUGGGUUAAUGGGGAAGCAAGGAUGGGCAUCCAUGGAGCAGAAGGGCAUGCUACUGCCCCAUCCAGUUUCUAGAUGUCUCUCAAUAAAAAUCAUGACAAUUAUUUCCUGACAGUGUGCAAACUAAAACCUUCACACACGUGGCAACUCAUGCUGUUGUCCUCUGUGGUUUUCAAGAAUCACAAGUCUUCUUGGGGCUGAAUGAAGCAUUCUGGGGUGUAUGACUGAACCUCUGGGGAGCCAGGAGUAACAAGGUCUCAAGUCCAGCCUUGCUUGGCUCUUCAGGCAGACCCGGCCCUACCCCACCAUAAUGGCCAAGGUUCCCACACUGGUGUAAGUUGGUUGUAGCAAGCUGCAGCAGAACUACUCAAGCUCAUGACGCAGAUGCCACUGGCACAGAUGGGACCAUUAGAAUUCUGCAGCACAGGAGGGCCCAUCUUCCCAGGGCAACGGGACUGCACACUUGGUCACAGGUCAGAUUGCUGCUGGCAGGUUGCCACCAUUGGAUGCUGGAGUGCUUGCACUUCUUAAACGGAAAUUCAGAACUCAGAAGUGUCAGACAGCCAGCACUCCAGCACCUGGACACGUGAUUCAGUUGGCACCCAACCUCAGAGUCCCAGGGAGACCUGAGCACAGCUUGUAUUGUUUGUAUCCUCAUAUCAGCUAUCUCUGU
This 2843-nucleotide long non-coding RNA is filed under the name Marmota monax (woodchuck). The record is from RNAcentral. Lineage: Eukaryota; Metazoa; Chordata; Mammalia; Rodentia; Sciuridae.